CGAGGCGCGCUACAUGCAGUCGACGCGUAGCAAUCUGAGUGGCAAACGGGUGAGUAUAAUGUGGGAAUCUGCCUUUUGGUUUGGAAUAACACGGGGAAACUUGUGCUAAUACCGAAUAAGCCCUUACGGGGAAAGUUUUAACGCCGAAAGAUGAGCCUGCACUUGAUUAGCUAGUUGGUAAGGUAAAAGCUUACCAAGGCAACGAUCAAUAGCUGUUCUUAGAGGAAGACCAGCCACAUUGGGACUGAGACACGGCCCAAACUCCUACGGGAGGCAGCAGUGGGGAAUCUUGCACAAUGGGGGAAACCCUGAUGCAGCGAUGCCGCGUGAGUGAAGAAGGCCCUUGGGUUGUAAAACUCUUUCGUCGGGGAAGAAAAUGACUGUACCCGAAUAAGAAGGUCCGGCUAACUUCGUGCCAGCAGCCGCGGUAAUACGAAGGGACCUAGCGUAGUUCGGAAUUACUGGGCUUAAAGAGCUCGUAGGUGGUUAAAAAAGUUGAUGGUGAAAUCCCAAGGCUCAACCUUGGAACUGCCAUCAAAACUUUUUAGCUAGAGUGUGAUAGAGGUAAGUGGAAUUUCUAGUGUAGAGGUGAAAUUCGUAGAUAUUAGAAAGAACACCAAAUGCGAAGGCAACUUACUGGGUCACUACUGACACUGAGGAGCGAAAGCAUGGGUAGCGAAGAGGAUUAGAUACCCUCGUAGUCCAUGCCGUAAACGAUGUGUGCUAGACGUUGGAAAUAUAUUUUUCAGUGUCGCAGCGAAAGCAUUAAGCACACCGCCUGGGGAGUACGACCGCAAGGUUAAAACUCAAAUGAAUUGACGGGGACCCGCACAAGCAGUGGAGCAUGUGGUU
RNAcentral lists this ribosomal RNA (852 nucleotides) under uncultured marine bacterium. RNAcentral's name for it is "bacterial SSU rRNA". It matches the Rfam family "Bacterial small subunit ribosomal RNA", at positions 38 to 946 of the family's 1533-position model. The record is from RNAcentral.